Molecule: ribosomal RNA, 425 nt
Filed under: bacterium
Lineage: Bacteria
Description: partial 16S ribosomal RNA
Rfam family: Bacterial small subunit ribosomal RNA
Source: RNAcentral
UGGGGAAUAUUGCACAAUGGGCGCAAGCCUGAUGCAGCGACGCCGCGUGAGGGAUGGAGGCCUUCGGGUUGUAAACCUCUUUCGCCAGUGAAGCAGGCCAUCUUCUUUGUGGGGUGGUUGACGGUAGCUGGAUAAGAAGCGCCGGCUAACUACGUGCCAGCAGCCGCGGUAAUACGUAGGGCGCGAGCGUUGUCCGGAAUUAUUGGGCGUAAAGAGCUCGUAGGCGGCUGGUCGCGUCUGUCGUGAAAUCCCCUGGCUUAACUGGGGGCUUGCGGUGGGUACGGGCCGGCUGGAGUGCGGUAGGGGAGACUGGAAUUCCUGGUGUAGCGGUGGAAUGCGCAGAUAUCAGGAGGAACACCGGUGGCGAAGGCGGGUCUCUGGGCCGUUACUGACGCUGAGGAGCGAAAGCGUGGGGAGCGAACAGG